Molecule: long non-coding RNA, 917 nt
Filed under: Anas platyrhynchos platyrhynchos (common mallard)
Lineage: Eukaryota; Metazoa; Chordata; Aves; Anseriformes; Anatidae
Description: lncRNA (ENSAPLG00000017041.1)
Source: RNAcentral
GUUGUUGUUGCAACAAUAAAUUGGCAAUUUGCUUGUUAUUACUUCCACUUGCUUAAAGAUGCUCAUGCUUUUUCAUUUUUCUCCAGAUAUUUUCCUCACAAUUGUAAGACCUUGAAAGUUCCUUAACAUUUUGAGGUUGAUGUAAUUGUUCGGGAACCUCAGAUUUGAAGAUAAAUAGCACCAAGUAUCCUAUAGCAUACAAAAGAAGUUGCAUGACCAUGUAGAUUGUCAUGACUGUCUUCUCUUCAGUCACAGAUUACUGGCAGAAGGAUUUUUGCUGCAAGGCAUAAGGAAAGGUGCAAAAGAAAAUCCGACAUCUUCGCUCACAAGGAGAGAUGCCUGGACAGGGUUUACAGUCCAUCAACGCCGUAAGAGCAGGGGUGAUGUAAGACAAGGCGACAGCACUCAAGCCCAAAACCUGACGGAUGGACUCUCUUGGAAGGAAGGGAUUCUUCUUUCCAAUUCCUUCAGUUUGGGGACCUGACGUGGUCCCUUCCAAACUGAGUUUACUGUGUCUUGGCUAUCUGGAGAAGGAUUUAUCUGCUUCUGUAUCCUCCUAAAUCUCCUAAAGAGUAGCUAUCCUUCAAAAUAUGAUAUUCCUGAAUGGUGCAAAAUAUGGUACUCCAAGUGUAUGGUUCUGUAACUUGAUCCCUUGAAAUAUCAUAUAUUAUCUGUCACACAUGUAGCAUAGCAAGCACUGUAUUUGCCUUUGAAGAUUCUUCAGUCUCUCCUGAACUAGUGUUAACAGGCUAUGGCUUGCUUGUUUCUAAUGGUUUUGCAAAUGCCUGUGAUGCUGUGUAGUUCUUGGAGGCUCUCCUGGAGGUGUUAAAUGCUAGGUUAGAACAUGCCUCAGGGAAUACUGAGCUUGGCUACAGCUAUAGCUGUGCAACAAAUAUUAUCCAUAUAAAAUAAUUGCA